CCGGGCACCGAGGCUUCCCCCGCGGCGGACAAGGCGCCCCAGAGCUGGCCCCCGAGCGCGGCCCGCGCCCGGGGGACACGCUGGACCAGUGGGUCUCUGCCUUUCUGGUGUACGCCAGCGUGCUGUGCGAGAAGCACCCGGCCCGCUGCGGGGCCAUGUUCAAGUACCUGGACACCAUCCGCAAACUGCACGCCACUUACGGGGGCACCUCGUGGAUGAGCUACGACGAGGACUUCCGGCGGCGGGCAGCCAAGGACCCGACCCUGCCAUGGGGCGACGUGGACCUGGACCUGUGGAUGAAGUGGAUGGCACCCCUCAAGUCGCUCGUCAGCAGGCAUCAGCAUGCCGAGAGCGAGCAGCAGGCCCCGCCGCCGCCCCCGCCAGCCCCGCAGCCACCCCAGAGUCCCAAGCAGGAGGAGAAAAGCCAGACCCCAUGAAAACAGAAGGCCAGUUGGAAGGGCAGUCAGACUAAGUGGGUGAGUUUAUAUAUAAAAACUAACUAACUUUGGACUUUAAAUAUUUGCAGAUUUGUUAAAUACAGAAUUUCUUAUUGGUGCCAACAGCCUGACUCCGUUGGUGUUUAAGUGGAGCUCUGGUAUUCUAGUGCAUUCUUUUACCUCUGCUUCUGUUGCAUUGCAAGCUGUGCUAGAGAAGACAUAGGAAAUUCAUUUUACCCAAUCAUCAAUUGUAACAAUGGACUACAAACCUGCAGAGCAAGCCAGUUUGCUGGAAAACAGGAAUUCCUGCAGCGCAGCACUUGUCACAGACUAUCCAAAGAGGGCAAAGAUUCAGGAAGGUGAAUAAAUUGAACAUUGGUUGAAUGAGGUCA
Molecule: long non-coding RNA, 829 nt
Filed under: Apteryx owenii (little spotted kiwi)
Lineage: Eukaryota; Metazoa; Chordata; Aves; Apterygiformes; Apterygidae
Description: lncRNA (ENSAOWG00000015350.1)
Source: RNAcentral